UAAUUUGAAAUUGUGUUCGGAUAAUUGGUUUUGUUUUUGUGUAUGAAAAGUCGAUGUUUCCUUGAAGACAAGAGAGAAGGGAGGUAACAAUGGGAGAAGAAAAAACAUAUUGGAUAAUGCCAGCAGACGAAAAUAGCAAUAUGGUGGACAUUGAAAAUUUAGUCUCGCAAAUCGAAGAAAUUGAAGGUGUGCAGAUGGAGGAUAUAAAUUAUCAUAUGAAUUCUAUUAGGUUCAAAGUGACGUGUCCUUUGGAGAUAGAUGAUAUUAAAGAUAUAAUAAAAUUGUAUUACUUUAAUUCUUUUAAUAUAACUAUUAUAUAAUGAAAAUUAAAAAACAAGGACGAGUAUGAGUAUAUUAUUACCACUCGUCCGCAAAACUAAUUAUCUGAAUAAUUUUGAAUUUAAUAAAUUGAAUUUAAAAAGGUACGAAAUUGACGGUAUCAGUUGAAUAAGGGGUUACUAACUCUGUGCCAGCAGUAGCGGUAAUACAGAGACCCCAAGCGUUAUCCGGAUUUAUUGGGCGUAAAGCGCAUGUAGGCGGAUAUACUAGUCAGAUGUUAAAUCUCCGAGCCCAACUCGGAAACUGCAUUUGAAACGGUAUAUCUAGAGAAAGUGAGAGAUUGAUGGAAUUCAUGGUGUAGUAGUGAAAUGCGUUGAUAUCAUGAGGAACACCAAAGGCGAAGGCAUUCAAUUGGCACUUUUCUGACGCUGAGAUGCGAAAGCGUGGGGAGCGAAGGGGAUUAGAUACCCCCGUAGUCCACGCCGUAAACGAUGCAUAUUAGAUGUUAGGAGUAUCGACCCUCCUAGUGUCGUAGCUAACGCGUUAAAUAUGCCGCCUGGGAAGUACGAGCGCAAGCUUAAAACUCAAAGGAAUAGACGGGGAUCCGCACAAGUGGUGGAGCAUGUGGUUUAAUUCGAUAUUAAGCGAGGCACCUCACCAGGGCUUGAAACUUAGCUGUGGCUUCUAGAGAUAGAAGCGUCUUCGAGAACGCUAAGCAGGCGCUGCAUGGUCGUCGUCAGCUCGUGCCGUAAGGUGUUCCCUUAAGUGGGGUAACGAGCGCAACCCCUGUCGUGUGUUAUAUAUGUCACGCGAGACUGCCCAGACUUUAGUACACUUCGUGUACAAUUCUGAAUUUCCAAUUUUAAAUUUUGAUUGAAUGAACUAAUGUUUUAAUGACAUAAUUUUUUGAAGUAAAGCUUAAAACUUAAAAGUUAAUAUUUCGGAAUUAAAAAUUAAUUCAUUUAAAAAAUUCAAUUGAAAUUAAAAAUUCAUAAUUCAAAAUUAAAGCGAAGCGCAUUAAAGUCUGGGAGGAAGGAGGGGAUGACGUCAGAUCAGCAUGGCCCUUUGACGCCCUGGGCUACACACGUGCUACAAUGGCCAAUACAGAGGGUUGCGAAACCGCGAGGUGGAGCUAAUCCCAAAAAGUUGGUCUCAGUUCGGAUUGGAGUCUGCAACUCGACUCCAUGAAGCCGGAAUCACUAGUAAUCGGGAAUCAGCCAUGUCCCGGUGAAUACGUUCCCGGAUCUUGUACUCACCGCCCGUCACGUCAAGAGAGCCGGCAACACCCGAAGGUCUUGUGUCAUAGCAGGAACAACGGUGGGGCUGGUGAUAGGGACGAAGUCGUAACAAGGCAUCCGUAGCGGAAGCUGUGGAUG
This 1655-nucleotide ribosomal RNA is filed under the name Parcubacteria group bacterium M6-OD1-3. RNAcentral's name for it is "bacterial SSU rRNA". The stretch from base 339 to 1655 matches the Rfam family "Bacterial small subunit ribosomal RNA". The record is from RNAcentral.